AAGACCUUGCGCUUUUGGAGCGGCCGAUGCCUGAUUAGCUAGUUGGUGGGGUAAAGGCUUACCAAGGCUUCGAUCAGUAGCUGGUCUGAGAGGACGGCCAGCCACACUGGGACUGAGACACGGCCCAGACUCCUACGGGAGGCAGCAGUGGGGAAUUUUGGACAAUGGGGGCAACCCUGAUCCAGCCAUGCCGCGUGAGUGAAGAGUUGAAAGCUCUUUCAGUCGGGAAGAAAAGGUUGUGGUUAAUACCUGCAAUUNUAAUACCUGCGAUUACUGACGGUACCGGAAGAAGAAGCACCGGCUAACUACGUGCCAGCAGCCGCGGUAAUACGUAGGGUGCAAGCGUUAAUCGGAAUUACUGGGCGUAAAGCGUGCGCAGGUGGUUUUGUAAGUCAGAUGUGAAAUCCCCGGGCUCAACCUGGGAACU
This 427-nucleotide ribosomal RNA is filed under the name uncultured bacterium. Its description in RNAcentral is "bacterial SSU rRNA". It matches the Rfam family "Bacterial small subunit ribosomal RNA", at positions 207 to 622 of the family's 1533-position model. The record is from RNAcentral.